AUGUCAACCCCUGCAAGGAAGAGGCUGAUGAGGGAUUUCAAACGACUGAUGCAGGAUCCUCCUGCGGGCAUAAGUGGUGCACCUCAGGAUAACAAUAUAAUGCUGUGGAAUGCUGUAAUUUUUGGUCCUGAUGAUACUCCCUGGGAUGGUGGUACGUUCAAGCUGACACUUCAGUUUACUGAAGAUUAUCCUAAUAAGCCACCUACAGUGCGGUUUGUUUCUCGAAUGUUUCAUCCCAAUAUUUAUGCAGAUGGAAGCAUAUGUUUAGAUAUUCUCCAAAACCAGUGGAGCCCGAUAUAUGAUGUAGCUGCUAUAUUGACAUCCAUUCAGUCACUGCUUUGCGACCCAAACCCAAAUUCACCUGCCAACUCAGAAGCCGCCCGCCUAUUCAGCGAGAACAAGCGGGAAUACAACCGUAAAGUACGCGAGGUUGUGGAGCAAAGCUGGACUGCAGACUAA
RNAcentral lists this ribosomal RNA (459 nucleotides) under Triticum aestivum (bread wheat). RNAcentral's name for it is "partial small subunit ribosomal RNA". Lineage: Eukaryota; Viridiplantae; Streptophyta; Magnoliopsida; Poales; Poaceae. The record is from RNAcentral.